AAUGAACGCUGGCGGCAGGCCUAAAACAUGCAAGUCGAACGCCCUAGCAAUAGGGAGUGGCGCACGGGUGAGUAACAUGUGGGAAUAUGCCUUUUGGUACGGAACAACGUUUGGAAACGAACGCUAAUACCGUAUGGUCCCUCCGGGGUAAAGAUUUAUCGCCAAAAGAUUAGCCCGCACUAGAUUAGCUAGUUGGUAAGGUAAUGGCUUACCAAGGCGACGAUCUAUAGCUGUUCUGAGAGGAAGAUCAGCCACACUGGGACUGAGACACGGCCCAGACUCCUACGGGAGGCAGCAGUUAGGAAUAUUGGACAAUGGGCGCAAGCCUGAUCCAGCCAUGCCGCGUGAGUGAUGAAGGCCUUCGGGUUGUAAAGCUCUUUAGUCCACGAAUAUAAUGACUGUAGUGGAAGAAUAAGCCCCGGCUAACUUCGUGCCAGCCGCCGCCGUAA
RNAcentral lists this ribosomal RNA (449 nucleotides) under uncultured bacterium. RNAcentral's name for it is "partial 16S ribosomal RNA". It matches the Rfam family "Bacterial small subunit ribosomal RNA", at positions 29 to 523 of the family's 1533-position model. The record is from RNAcentral.